AUUGAACGCUGGCGGCAGGCCUAACACAUGCCAGUCGAACGGUAACAGGAAACAGCUUGCUGUUUCGCUGACGAGUGGCGGACGGGUGAGUAAUGUCUGGGAAACUGCCUGAUGGAGGGGGAUAACUACUGGAAACGGUAGCUAAUACCGCAUAACGUCGCAAGACCAAAGAGGGGGACCUUCGGGCCUCUUGCCAUCGGAUGUGCCCAGAUGGGAUUAGCUAGUAGGUGGGGUAACGGCUCACCUAGGCGACGAUCCCUAGCUGGUCUGAGAGGAUGACCAGCCACACUGGAACUGAGACACGGUCCAGACUCCUACGGGAGGCAGCAGUGGGGAAUAUUGCACAAUGGGCGCAAGCCUGAUGCAGCCAUGCCGCGUGUAUGAAGAAGGCCUUCGGGUUGUAAAGUACUUUCAGCGGGGAGGAAGGGAGUAAAGUUAAUACCUUUACUCAUUGACGUUACCCGCAGAAGAAGCACCGGCUAACUACGUG
RNAcentral lists this ribosomal RNA (490 nucleotides) under uncultured bacterium. RNAcentral's name for it is "partial 16S ribosomal RNA". It matches the Rfam family "Bacterial small subunit ribosomal RNA", at positions 30 to 507 of the family's 1533-position model. The record is from RNAcentral.